UCCUACGGGAGGCAGCAGUGGGGAAUAUUGCGCAAUGGGCGAAAGCCUGACGCAGCGACGCCGCGUGAGGGAUGAAGGUUUUCGGAUCGUAAACCUCUGUCAGAAGGGAAGAAACUACAUUGUGCUAAUCAGCAGUGUACUGACGGUACCUUCAAAGGAAGCACCGGCUAACUCCGUGCCAGCAGCCGCGGUAA
Molecule: ribosomal RNA, 194 nt
Filed under: uncultured Desulfovibrio sp.
Lineage: Bacteria; Pseudomonadati; Thermodesulfobacteriota; Desulfovibrionia; Desulfovibrionales; Desulfovibrionaceae
Description: partial 16S ribosomal RNA
Rfam family: Bacterial small subunit ribosomal RNA
Source: RNAcentral